GUACACUCCUACGGGAGGCAGCAGUGGGGAAUUUUGGACAAUGGGCGAAAGCCUGAUCCAGCAAUGCCGCGUGCAGGAUGAAGGCCUUCGGGUUGUAAACUGCUUUUGUACGGAACGAAAAAGCUCCUUCUAAUACAGGGGGCCCAUGACGGUACCGUAAGAAUAAGCACCGGCUAACUACGUGCCAGCAGCCGCGGUAAUACGUAGGGUGCGAGCGUUAAUCGGAAUUACUGGGCGUAAAGCGUGCGCAGGCGGUUAUGUAAGACAGAUGUGAAAUCCCCGGGCUCAACCUGGGAACUGCAUUUGUGACUGCAUGGCUAGAGUACGGUAGAGGGGGAUGGAAUUCCGCGUGUAGCAGUGAAAUGCGUAGAUAUGCGGAGGAACACCGAUGGCGAAGGCAAUCCCCUGGACCUGUACUGACGCUCAUGCACGAAAGCGUGGGGAGCAAACAGGAUUAGAUACCCUGGUAGUCCCAUGAU
RNAcentral lists this ribosomal RNA (479 nucleotides) under uncultured organism. RNAcentral describes it as "partial 16S ribosomal RNA". It matches the Rfam family "Bacterial small subunit ribosomal RNA", at positions 331 to 801 of the family's 1533-position model. The record is from RNAcentral.